GAUGAACGCUGGCGGCGUGCCUAAUACAUGCAAGUCGAGCGAACAGAUGAGGAGCUUGCUCCUCUGACGUUAGCGGCGGACGGGUGAGUAACACGUGGAUAACCUACCUAUAAGACUGGGAUAACUUCGGGAAGCCGGAGCUAAUACCGGAUAAUAUAUUGAACCGCAUGGUUCAAUAGUGAAAGACGGUUUUGCUGUCACUUAUAGAUGGAUCCGCGCCGCAUUAGCUAGUUGGUAAGGUAACGGCUUACCAAGGCAACGAUGCGUAGCCGACCUGAGAGGGUGAUCGGCCACCCUGGAACUGAGACACGGUCCAGACUCCUACGGGAGGCAGCAGUAGGGAAUCUUCCGCAAUGGGCGAAAGCCUGACGGAGCAACGCCGCGUGAGUGAUGAAGGUCUUCGGAUCGUAAAACUCUGUUAUUAGGGAAGAACAAAUGUGUAAGUAACUAUGCACGUCUUGACGGUACCUAAUCAGAAAGCCACGGCUAACUACGUG
RNAcentral lists this ribosomal RNA (497 nucleotides) under uncultured bacterium. Its description in RNAcentral is "partial 16S ribosomal RNA". It matches the Rfam family "Bacterial small subunit ribosomal RNA", at positions 28 to 507 of the family's 1533-position model. The record is from RNAcentral.